Salvia miltiorrhiza (redroot sage) is the source of this 538-nucleotide long non-coding RNA. RefSeq lists it as uncharacterized. The record is from RefSeq and is a predicted model, not a curated record. The transcript is spliced from 2 exons. NCBI's taxonomy places the organism in Eukaryota, Viridiplantae, Streptophyta, Magnoliopsida, Lamiales, Lamiaceae.
AUUAUUUUCGUUUUACCGCCAUUUACCAAACCUCUAAAAACCUAUCUAAGAAACUUGGCAGUUUAUCCACAAUCUUAGUGGAGUUUAAAUUACCAAUUCCUCUCAUCCAUUACAAUCCCCACUACUCCUCUCCGAUUAUUCCCCACUUUCCUUAACUCCAGUAAUUAUAGGUAGGAAACACUGAAUUGUUCGGAAAUGGUCAGAGAAGAAGUUGAGAAUACGAGGGCAGACAUGGUAAUCAACAGAGUGGAAAGAGCACACAGGCCAAGCAAUGAAAUUCCUGAUGGAUUCAACUAUAACUAUCUCAAGAUUUACUACGAUCAUACUGCAAUACGACAAGUCGAUGAAGAUGUGAAGCUAAACCACAAAAGAUUGGAGGGUGAAGAUCUUGAAGCACUUGGUUUAUCUUCAAGACACAUAAUAGAUUUUUGGCACCUUAGUUAUUUAAAUAUUUUGGAAUGUUUGUAAUUGUCAUAUUAUUUUGAUUUUAUGUAAUAUUAUUUGAUAAAAUUUCUAUGAUAUAAUUGUGUUAGAUGCA